UGAAGAGAUACCUCAGGCUCAGAUGAUCAGCGAAUAUAUCGCAGUGUGUCCCAUAACCUGAAUCAAUAACACUUACCUCGGAGAACACAAUCUCCCAUCGGUUCAACACAAACUGCUGUAAUUAACCCCUAUCGUAGAAAAACUAUCUGCGGCAUUCGACAACCCUAAGUUCAAGACCUCACCUUUUACCUGACCAAAA
RNAcentral lists this long non-coding RNA (199 nucleotides) under Ananas comosus (pineapple). RNAcentral describes it as "long non-coding RNA (ACOM_LNC035707)". The record is from RNAcentral. Lineage: Eukaryota; Viridiplantae; Streptophyta; Magnoliopsida; Poales; Bromeliaceae.